RNAcentral lists this ribosomal RNA (402 nucleotides) under uncultured Altererythrobacter sp. RNAcentral's name for it is "bacterial SSU rRNA". It matches the Rfam family "Bacterial small subunit ribosomal RNA", at positions 355 to 774 of the family's 1533-position model. The record is from RNAcentral. Lineage: Bacteria; Pseudomonadati; Pseudomonadota; Alphaproteobacteria; Sphingomonadales; Erythrobacteraceae.
UGGGGAAUAUUGGACAAUGGGCGAAAGCCUGAUCCAGCAAUGCCGCGUGAGUGAUGAAGGCCUUAGGGUUGUAAAGCUCUUUUACCCGGGAUGAUAAUGACAGUACCGGGAGAAUAAGCUCCGGCUAACUCCGUGCCAGCAGCCGCGGUAAUACGGAGGGAGCUAGCGUUGUUCGGAAUUACUGGGCGUAAAGCGCACGUAGGCGGCUCAGCAAGUCAGGGGUGAAAUCCCGGGGCUCAACCCCGGAACUGCCUUUGAAACUGCUAAGCUAGAAUCCUGGAGAGGCGAGUGGAAUUCCGAGUGUAGAGGUGAAAUUCGUAGAUAUUCGGAAGAACACCAGUGGCGAAGGCGACUCGCUGGACAGGUAUUGACGCUGAGGUGCGAAAGCGUGGGGAGCAAACA